This 468-nucleotide ribosomal RNA is filed under the name uncultured bacterium. RNAcentral describes it as "partial 16S ribosomal RNA". It matches the Rfam family "Bacterial small subunit ribosomal RNA", at positions 28 to 507 of the family's 1533-position model. The record is from RNAcentral.
GACGAACGCUGGCGGCGUGCUUAACACAUGCAAGUCGAACGGAAAGGCCCUGCUUUUGUGGGGUGCUCGAGUGGCGAACGGGUGAGUAACACGUGAGUAACCUGCCCUUGACUUUGGGAUAACUUCAGGAAACUGGGGCUAAUACCGGAUAGGAGCUCCUGCUGCAUGGUGGGGGUUGGAAAGUUUCGGCGGUUGGGGAUGGACUCGCGGCUUAUCAGCUUGUUGGUGGGGUAGUGGCUUACCAAGGCUUUGCAGGGUAGCCGGCCUGAGCGGGUGACCGGCCACAUUAGGACUGAGGUACGGCCCAGACUCCUACGGGAGGCAGCAGUGGGGAAUAUUGCACAAUGGGCGGAAGCCUGAGGCAGCAACGCCGCGUGCGGGAUGACGGCCUUCGGGUUGUAAACCGCUUUCGCCUGUGACGAAGCGUGAGUGACGGUAAUGGGUAAAGAAGCACCGGCUAACUACGUG